Phyllostomus hastatus (greater spear-nosed bat) is the source of this 411-nucleotide non-coding RNA. The record is from the annotation of a RefSeq genome assembly. NCBI's taxonomy places the organism in Eukaryota, Metazoa, Chordata, Mammalia, Chiroptera, Phyllostomidae.
AUGGCCUGGACCACUCUGCUGCUCCCCCUUCUCACUCUCUGCACAGGUUCUGCGACUUCCUAUGAGGUGACACAGCCACCGUUGGCGUCUGUUGCUCCGGGACAGACAGUCACCAUCACCUGCCAGGUAGAUUACUUUGAGGACAGAAGUUACGUGCACUGGUACCAGCAGAAGUCCGGCCAGGCCCCUGUGCCGGUCAUGUAUUAUAGCAGCAACCGGCGCUCAGGGAUCCCUGACCGAUUCUCAGCCUCCAGCUCAGGGAACACAGCCACCCUGACCAUCAGCGGGACCCAGGCCCAGGUCAAGGCUGACUAUCACUGUCAGGUGUGGGACAGCAGUGAUGGAGCCACAGGGACACAGGCAGACGGGGAAACAGGCUCUUCAGGGCUGUCCUGGGAGACGACACAAUGA